GGCCACAUCACGUUGAAACAUUAGUUCCCGUACGAUCACUGAAGUUAAGCAAAGUCGAGACUGGCCAGUACCUAGAUGGGUGAACGCUUGGCAAUGUCAGGUGUUGUAAG
Non-coding RNA from Acanthosepion pharaonis, 110 nucleotides. The record is from the annotation of a GenBank genome assembly. NCBI's taxonomy places the organism in Eukaryota, Metazoa, Mollusca, Cephalopoda, Sepiida, Sepiidae.